GGCCUCUGCGCAGGCGCAGCGAGGGGAGGCGCGAGCGAGUCCUGCGCAAGCGCAGAGCGAAGGGCCGGGCACAGCGGAGGGUGUGAGGAAGACAAUGGGGAGGACCCCGAGGCGGCCUCUGAGCCGACAGGAACACGUAGUCCAUCAGAGAGAGACUCGAGGUUCGUGAAAGGAUGGGGAGGACCCUGAAAAGCACUGUGGAAUACAGGUUUCUAGUAACUUCAAAAUCACAUCAUUUGGACUGGAACCCAAAGAUGGGAUCUUCUGAGAACAUCAGAGAAAAACUGCCCUUGGCAUCCUCACUGCAACAAAACAUCAGGAUCUUGAACCUUGGGGUCAUAAUCUCACAACUGAGCAGGGUCACUCCACACUCUUGGAACUGUACAUCCAUUGAAACCCUUAAGGUAAAGCUAACCAGGGAAGUUUCUCCCCAGAAGAAGGUGGCAUCCUUGAUGUGAGUAGCUCUUUCUGAAGAUCAUGGAUCAAGACUUCUUACUAUCAUGAGACUCUUAUCUUUAAAUGUUUUUCCCUUGCUUCUGCCUCUAUGAACAAUAGAAGUGAGAAGGGGGUCUGUUUUGUGCACUUAUGGGGUAUACUUUUAUUUGUGAAGGGUUUUGCAGCCAGCUUUAUACAUGGAUAAUCUUAUAACUUGAUAGAUAAAAGAUGAAGGCCCAAUGUAUCAUAGGUGAGAAACUUAAAUGGUACAUACGGUGCCUCAUAAUCAUUCAGAAACCAAACAUUGGUUCACUCCUCUUAACCCACAGCAUGGGUUAAAGAGAACAUUGCCAGGAGGCCUUCCCUUUUCUAGAAGGGCAUCAUUUGUUAGGUCCUUUUUCCAUGGUUUGGAAUAAAAAUGGCAAUGACUAGAAACGUAUCCCUCAUGGUAGACUCUAUAGCAUAUUCUACUGUAAAGGCUACACAACAAAUGUUAAAUUCUCUUGUGAAAGUUAUGCUAAAAAAUAGAAUUGGCUAAACAGGAAAGUACCUGUGCAGACGCUGGCACUUAAGGCCUAUGGAGAAAACAUCAGGUGUUAUAGAGAUUCUGUUGUAGGGAAUUAACGAAAAGAUCACUGAGUUAAGUAAAAGAAUGAGCUUUAUCUAGCUCAUUCUUUGGUCUACUUGAGUUUAGGUGGUUUGGUUUAUGGGGACCCUGGGUAAGGAGCAUACUUCAAAUUCUUGGUGUUACCCUCUCAGUAGUCAUAAGAAUAGUCUCCCUGGUGCACUGUAUUCUCUCAAAGGUUUUAAAUGUUUGCACGAAGCCAUCUUUAGAACGUCAGAUGGUCUCUCUUCAACUGGAAUGACAAGAGCUGAAAGAAAUGUGUGACCACGAGGACACCGUAACCUAUGAGUGACAUGUUGAGGCUGGAAAUCCAAAAUGAUAGUAAUGGAGAGUGGCGCUGACACCUUAAGUUUUGGUCACACUCUUGCCUAAGUGAGAAGCUGACCAAAAAGGGGGAUUUUUUAAACAAAAUGAUGGGAGGCCAUUGUUUUGGACUGAGCACUAGGUCCCAACAGACCAAACUGAACCAAAAUGGCAUCAUUCGUGCUAAAUGUGACAUAAUCGAAUUAAGACUUUCAGGAAACACAUGGAUCCUAGAAUAGACCAGGUUUUGUUUUUCUCUUGCAAACAGGACUUUCCAGCGUGAGGUGGUACCGUCAACUCAGCCCUUCUUCCUACCUUUGCAAAACUCACUGUUCUGCUUCCUAGUGGGUUUCAAGACCAAUGGUGAUAGUGACAUCAGUAACUCAAGUUUUGGUCAAUCUCUCAAAACUGAGAAAAUGACCAAAAGGGGGAAUUGUUAAAGCGAACUAAAUAUGGCCUGAGAAGGACUCCAUGCUUCUGCAUUGGAGUCCUUGUGGACAAACUGAGCCAAACUUAAUAGGUAGACAAGACUGAAAACCUAAAUUAGGAGUAUGCGCCUGUUACAACUGCUGAGUCUCGGCCAGUCCCAGCAGCCGUACUUCAAUCACUCAUACACUGCGGAAUGUUCAAACUGUGUUUAAAUAAGGCAAAUGCCAACCUGUAACUGAUCCAGGUGUUUCUCUACCUCACUUCCCUUUUUUUGUCUAUAAAUCUUCCACCACGUGGCUGCACUGGAGUCUCUCUGAAUCUGCUGUAAUUCUGGGGGCUGCCCGAUUUGUAAAUCAUUCAUUACUCAAUUAAACUCCUUCAAAUUUAAUUCAGCUGAAGUUUUAACAAGGGUAAGAUAAGAACUUGUGUUCUUAUCGCCCAGAAUGGACAAAUCAGUAGUGUUCCUUGUCGUUCGUUUGUGGCUGGUUUCAGGUAAAUAUUUUGUGUGUAUGAUAAUAUAAUUUGAUUUUAAUGAAUAUACUUUAAAAGCAACUUUUUUUUUUUUAUUCUUCCUCACCAUCAAAGAUGGAGAAAAGUAAGAAGUGCUGUCUUGCGGUUGCAUUUCUUCUGUGGAUGGUAAGAAGGGCUGUCUUCCGGUUCCGCUUCUUUUCUGGAUAGUAAGGAUGUUUAUCUUACUCUGUCUUCAUUGUCCUCAAACCUCAAGUAGUCACUAAUACCCUGGCUAUGACAGCUUUUAUCGUAGUGUUAAAUGUUAGAUUUAUUUACUUGGCAAACAUUGUCAAGUCUCAGAAAAAUUACCCCAUGGUCUUGCCUUCUUUCCUGUGAAUUGCCUUCCACUGGUAGAGAAGAUUUGAUCUGUUCCCUGCUCAUCAAUUCUUCUAGCUUCUUUGGGAUGUCGACUCUGCAUAUCUACUAGGGAAUUAAGAAAUAAUGGCUUCAGCAAGAAACAAGGCAGGAAAGUGCAGUGACAUGAGAACCAUACAGGGAAGGAGCUGUCCCCAAAGGUGAGAAUGGCACUGGACAAGGGUUCUCACUGUGAUGUUGCUCAGACCGGACUACCUGGACCUUUUCAUCACCGUGCCUCAGCGAAAUCAGUCGUUGAUUCUCUGAUCCGUUACUGAGAUCAUCAUGAAAUCUCCCUUGUACGAGAGUUGCAGAACUCUGCAGUAUCAAUCAUAGUGUUUGGGAGAGAGGACUUUCUACCUCCAUCCUUUUUCUGUACCUAAAUGGAAUGAAAAUUAGAACUGUUGCUUAUUCUUUAAGGUAAAUUAAAAUUCCCUUAUCCAA
Molecule: long non-coding RNA, 3100 nt
Organism: Symphalangus syndactylus (siamang)
Lineage: Eukaryota; Metazoa; Chordata; Mammalia; Primates; Hylobatidae
Source: RefSeq, a predicted model, not a curated record